Molecule: ribosomal RNA, 255 nt
Filed under: Vibrio parahaemolyticus
Lineage: Bacteria; Pseudomonadati; Pseudomonadota; Gammaproteobacteria; Vibrionales; Vibrionaceae
Description: partial 23S ribosomal RNA
Rfam family: Bacterial large subunit ribosomal RNA
Source: RNAcentral
AAGAAAUCAACCGAGAUUCCGAAAGUAGCGGCGAGCGAAAUUGGACUAGCCCUUAAGCUUUACACGCGUUAGACGAACGGUCUGGAAAGUCCGACGAUACAGGGUGAUAGUCCCGUAGUUGACGACGUGUGUUCAGUGAAAUCGAGUAGGGCGGGACACGUGAUAUCCUGUCUGAAUAUGGGGGGACCAUCCUCCAAGGCUAAAUACUACUGACUGACCGAUAGUGAACCAGUACCGUGAGGGAAAGGCGAAAAG